This is a non-coding RNA of Podarcis lilfordi (Lilford's wall lizard), 66 nucleotides long. The record is from the annotation of a GenBank genome assembly. NCBI's taxonomy places the organism in Eukaryota, Metazoa, Chordata, Lepidosauria, Squamata, Lacertidae.
UAUAUGUGUGUGUGUGUUUGUGUGUGUGUGUGUGUGUAGACACACACACACACACACACACAUAUU